CACACAGUAAACGAUGAAUACUCGCUGUUUGCGAUAUACAGUAAGCGGCCAAGCGAAAGCAUUAAGUAUUCCACCUGGGAGUACGCCGGCAACGGUGAAACUCAAAGGAAUUGACGGGGG
RNAcentral lists this ribosomal RNA (120 nucleotides) under uncultured bacterium. Its description in RNAcentral is "partial 16S ribosomal RNA". It matches the Rfam family "Bacterial small subunit ribosomal RNA", at positions 796 to 919 of the family's 1533-position model. The record is from RNAcentral.